AAAAACUACAGAACGUUGGAUCACGCCUCAUUAAUUGACGUGGCAGAUCCAACACUCCAAAGGUUAGGAUGCAUGCUGGAACACGCUGCAAGCCAAACACAAGAUCUAGUUUAAAUCAAACUAGUCAAAACAUUUCAAUUUGCCAACAUGUCUAAUUCAAACUCAGACAACGUGAGAAAGCUCUGGUUGUCUUCUCAGGUGAGCUCUCACCGGAGUUUCAUCGUUUGGUAAAUUCAAGACACGGG
Molecule: long non-coding RNA, 245 nt
Filed under: Lathyrus oleraceus (garden pea)
Lineage: Eukaryota; Viridiplantae; Streptophyta; Magnoliopsida; Fabales; Fabaceae
Description: Pisum sativum (pea) long non-coding RNA (PSAT_LNC017297)
Source: RNAcentral